GUGGGGAAUAUUGGACAAUGGGCGCAAGCCUGAUCCAGCCAUGCCGCGUGAGUGACGAAGGUCUUCGGAUUGUAAAGCUCUUUUGGCGGGGACGAUAAUGACGGUACCCGCAGAAUAAGCCCCGGCUAACUUCGUGCCAGCAGCCGCGGUAAUACGAAGGGGGCUAGCGUUGUUCGGAAUCACUGGGCGUAAAGCGCACGUAGGCGGAUGUGUCAGUCAGGGGUGAAAUCCCGGAGCUCAACUUCGGAACUGCCUCUGAUACAGCACGUCUUGAGUUCGAGAGAGGUGGGUGGAAUUCCUAGUGUAGAGGUGAAAUUCGUAGAUAUUAGGAAGAACACCGGUGGCGAAGGCGGCCCACUGGCUCGAUACUGACGCUGAGGUGCGAAAGCGUGGGGAGCAAACAGGAUUAGAUACCCUUGUAGUCC
This 425-nucleotide ribosomal RNA is filed under the name uncultured bacterium. Its description in RNAcentral is "bacterial SSU rRNA". It matches the Rfam family "Bacterial small subunit ribosomal RNA", at positions 354 to 796 of the family's 1533-position model. The record is from RNAcentral.